AGCUAAUUAAUUUUAAAUAAUUCAUAUGACUUGAAAUCAUGUUGUAGAUAGUUCUUCAUCUAUUAGCUU
RNAcentral lists this transfer RNA (69 nucleotides) under Nocticola sp. JW1 9/1. Its description in RNAcentral is "tRNA-Ser". The record is from RNAcentral. Lineage: Eukaryota; Metazoa; Arthropoda; Insecta; Blattodea; Nocticolidae.